This 433-nucleotide ribosomal RNA is filed under the name uncultured bacterium. Its description in RNAcentral is "partial 16S ribosomal RNA". It matches the Rfam family "Bacterial small subunit ribosomal RNA", at positions 29 to 507 of the family's 1533-position model. The record is from RNAcentral.
AACGAACGCUGGCGGCAGGCCUAACACAUGCAAGUCGAGCGCGCCCUUCGGGGUGAGCGGCGGACGGGUGAGUAACGCGUGGGAACGUGCCCUUUUCUACGGAAUAGCCUCGGGAAACUGAGAGUAAUACCGUAUACGCCCUUUGGGGGAAAGAUUUAUCGGAAAAGGAUCGGCCCGCGUUGGAUUAGGUAGUUGGUGGGGUAAUGGCCUACCAAGCCGACGAUCCAUAGCUGGUUUGAGAGGAUGAUCAGCCACACUGGGACUGAGACACGGCCCAGACUCCUACGGGAGGCAGCAGUGGGGAAUCUUAGACAAUGGUGGCAACCCUGAUCUAGCCAUGCCGCGUGAGUGAUGAAGGCCUUAGGGUUGUAAAGCUCUUUCAGCUGGGAAGAUAAUGACGGUACCAGCAGAAGAAGCCCCGGCUAACUCCGUG